GAUGAAGAACGUAGUGAAAUGCGAUAAGUAAUGUGAAUUGCAGAAUUCAGUGAAUCAUCGAAUCUUUGAACGCACAUUGCGCCCCCUGGUAUUCCGGGGGGCAUGCCUGUCCGAGCGUCAUUACAACCCUCAAGCUUAGCUUGGUAUUGGGCCCCGCCGACCCGGCGGGCCCUAAAGUCAGUGGCGGUGCCGUCCGGCUCCGAGCGUAGUAAUUCUUCUCGCUCUGGAGGUCCGGUCGUGUGCUCGCCAGCAACCCCCAAUUUUUUUCAGGUUGACCUCGGAUCAGGUAGGGAUACCCGCUGAACUUAAGCAUAUCAAUAAGCGGAGGA
This 329-nucleotide unclassified non-coding RNA is filed under the name soil metagenome. RNAcentral's name for it is "partial contains 5.8S ribosomal RNA, internal transcribed spacer 2, and large subunit ribosomal RNA". The stretch from base 1 to 120 matches the Rfam family "5.8S ribosomal RNA", at positions 35 to 154 of the family's 154-position model. The record is from RNAcentral.